UUCGGUUCGGAUAAUUGUGGUUACUAACGGUUCGGUUCGGUUAGUGAAUUGUUAUCAAAAUAAUAGUUCGAUUCGAAA
RNAcentral lists this microRNA precursor (78 nucleotides) under Medicago truncatula (barrel medic). RNAcentral's name for it is "MIR5271 microRNA precursor family". It matches the Rfam family "MIR5271 microRNA precursor family". Lineage: Eukaryota; Viridiplantae; Streptophyta; Magnoliopsida; Fabales; Fabaceae. The record is from Rfam by way of RNAcentral.